RNAcentral lists this unclassified non-coding RNA (262 nucleotides) under Steccherinum sp. RNAcentral's name for it is "partial internal transcribed spacer region". The stretch from base 1 to 46 matches the Rfam family "Eukaryotic small subunit ribosomal RNA", at positions 1786 to 1831 of the family's 1831-position model. The record is from RNAcentral. Lineage: Eukaryota; Fungi; Basidiomycota; Agaricomycetes; Polyporales; Steccherinaceae.
AAGUCGUAACAAGGUUUCCGUAGGUGAACCUGCGGAAGGAUCAUUAAAGAAUAAAAUCUGAGCGGGAUUGUCGCUGGCCUUCAGACGGGCACGUGCACGUUUCGUUCGUUUUUUAAUUUUACACCUCUGUGCACUUCUCAUAGGUUGGGCGGCGACGCGCUUCCUGUGUGUUUAAUAAAAUCCACCUUUGUAGUGUUAGAAUGUCGCUGUGAUGCGUAGAUCGCAUACAAUACAACUUUCAGCAACGGAUCUCUUGGCUCUC